This 442-nucleotide ribosomal RNA is filed under the name uncultured bacterium. RNAcentral describes it as "partial 16S ribosomal RNA". It matches the Rfam family "Bacterial small subunit ribosomal RNA", at positions 338 to 795 of the family's 1533-position model. The record is from RNAcentral.
CCUACGGGUGGCAGCAGUGGGGAAUAUUGGGCAAUGGACGCAAGUCUGACCCAGCAACGCCGCGUGAAGGAAGAAGGCUUUCGGGUUGUAAACUUCUUUUAUGGGGGACGAGCAGAAGACGGUACCCCUUGAAUAAGCCACGGCUAAAUACGUUCCAGCAGCCGCCGUAAUACGUAGGUGGAAAGCGUUGUGCGGAUUUACUGGGUGUAAAGGGCGUGCAGCCGGAGAGACAAGUCAGAUGUGAAAGCCACGGGCUCAACCCGUGAACUGCAUUUGAAACUGUUUCCCUUGAGUGUCGGAGAGGUAAUCGGAAUUCCGAGUGUAGCGGUGAAAUGCGUAGAUAUUAGGAGGAACACCAGUGGCGAAGGCGGAUUACUGGACGAUAACUGACGGUGAGGCGCGAAAGCGUGGGGAGCAAACAGGAUUAGAUACCCUUGUAGUC